RNAcentral lists this ribosomal RNA (484 nucleotides) under uncultured bacterium. RNAcentral's name for it is "partial 16S ribosomal RNA". It matches the Rfam family "Bacterial small subunit ribosomal RNA", at positions 30 to 507 of the family's 1533-position model. The record is from RNAcentral.
AUUGAACGCUGGCGGCAGGCCUAACACAUGCAAGUCGAGCGGUAACAGAAAGAAGCUUGCUUCUUUGCUGACGAGCGGCGGACGGGUGAGUAAUGCUUGGGAACAUGCCUUGAGGUGGGGGACAACAGCUGGAAACGACUGCUAAUACCGCAUAAUGUCUACGGACCAAAGGGGGCUUCGGCUCUCGCCUUUAGAUUGGCCCAAGUGGGAUUAGCUAGUUGGUGAGGUAAUGGCUCACCAAGGCGACGAUCCCUAGCUGGUUUGAGAGGAUGAUCAGCCACACUGGGACUGAGACACGGCCCAGACUCCUACGGGAGGCAGCAGUGGGGAAUAUUGCACAAUGGGCGCAAGCCUGAUGCAGCCAUGCCGCGUGUGUGAAGAAGGCCUUCGGGUUGUAAAGCACUUUCAGUCAGGAGGAAAGGUUAGUAGUUAAUACCUGCUAGCUGUGACGUUACUGACAGAAGAAGCACCGGCUAACUCCGUG